RNAcentral lists this ribosomal RNA (301 nucleotides) under uncultured bacterium. Its description in RNAcentral is "partial 16S ribosomal RNA". It matches the Rfam family "Bacterial small subunit ribosomal RNA", at positions 509 to 807 of the family's 1533-position model. The record is from RNAcentral.
CAGUAGCCGCGGUAAUACGGAGGGUGCAAGCGUUAAUCGGAAUUACUGGGCGUAAAGCGCACGCAGGCGGUCUGACAAGUCAGAUGUGAAAUCCCCGGGCUUAACCUGGGAACUGCAUUUGAAACUGUCAGGCUGGAGUCUUGUAGAGGGGGGUGGAAUUCCAGGUGUAGCGGUGAAAUGCGUAGAGAUCUGGAGGAAUACCGGUGGCGAAGGCGGCCCCCUGGACAAAGACUGACGCUCAGGUGCGAAAGCGUGGGGAGCAAACAGGAUUAGAUACCCCGGUAGUCCCUGUCUCUUAUAC